This 82-nucleotide small nucleolar RNA is filed under the name Canis lupus familiaris (dog). RNAcentral's name for it is "Small nucleolar RNA U3 (multiple genes)". It matches the Rfam family "Small nucleolar RNA U3", at positions 1 to 80 of the family's 219-position model. From Rfam's summary of the family: Small nucleolar RNAs (snoRNAs) are involved in the processing and modification of rRNA in the nucleolus. There are two main classes of snoRNAs: the box C/D class, and the box H/ACA class. U3 snoRNA is a member of the box C/D class. The record is from Rfam by way of RNAcentral. Lineage: Eukaryota; Metazoa; Chordata; Mammalia; Carnivora; Canidae. RNAcentral also lists the same sequence under 3 other names.
AAGACUAUACUUUCAGGCUUCAUUUCUAUAGUUUGUUACUAGAGAAGUUUCUCUGAAUGUGUAGAGUACUUGCUAAAGCAGC